GACAUACUAAGAACUUUCCAGAGAUGGAUUGGUGCCUUCGGGAACUUAGAUACAGGUGCUGCAUGGCUGUCGUCAGCUCGUGUCGUGAGAUGUUGGGUUAAGUCCCGNAACGAGCGCAACCCUUUUCCUUAUUUGCCAGCGGGUCAUGCCGGGAACUUUAAGGAUACUGCCAGUGACAAACUGGAGGAAGGCGGGGACGACGUCAAGUCAUCAUGGCCCUUACGGCCAGGGCUACACACGUGCUACAAUGGUCGGUACAAAGGGUUGCUACCUCGCGAGAGGAUGCUAAUCUCAAAAAGCCGAUCGUAGUCCGGAUCGCAGUCUGCAACUCGACUGCGUGAAGUCGGAAUCGCUAGUAAUCGCGGAUCAGAAUGCCGCGGUGAAUACGUUCCCGGGCCUUGUACACACCGCCCGUCACACCAUGGGAGUUUGUUGCACCAGAAGUAGGUAGUCUAACCGCAAGGAGGACGCUUACCACGGUGUGGCCGAUGACUGGGGUGAAGUCGUAACAAGGUAAGCGUAGAUGA
This 527-nucleotide ribosomal RNA is filed under the name uncultured bacterium. RNAcentral describes it as "bacterial SSU rRNA". It matches the Rfam family "Bacterial small subunit ribosomal RNA", at positions 983 to 1509 of the family's 1533-position model. The record is from RNAcentral.